Molecule: ribosomal RNA, 518 nt
Filed under: uncultured bacterium
Lineage: Bacteria
Description: bacterial SSU rRNA
Rfam family: Bacterial small subunit ribosomal RNA
Source: RNAcentral
AGAGUUUGAUCAUGGCUCAGGAUGAACGCUAGCUACAGGCUUAACACAUGCAAGUCGAGGGGUAACAAGAGAAAAGCUUGCUUUCUGUGACGACCGGCGCACGGGUGAGUAACGCGUAUCCAACCUGCCCAUAACUAGGGAAUAACCUUGCGAAAGUAAGACUAAUACCCUAUAAUUUCCUUUGACGGCAUCCGAUUAGGAAUAAAGAUUUAUCGGUUAUGGAUGGGGAUGCGUCUGAUUAGCUUGUUGGCGGGGUAACGGCCCACCAAGGCAACGAUCAGUAGGGGUUCUGAGAGGAAGGUCCCCCACAUUGGAACUGAGACACGGUCCAAACUCCUACGGGAGGCAGCAGUGAGGAAUAUUGGUCAAUGGGCGGAAGCCUGAACCAGCCAAGUAGCGUGCAGGAUGACGGCCCUAUGGGUUGUAAACUGCUUUUAUACAGGAAUAAAGUUAGCCACGUGUGGUUAUUUGUAGGUACUGUAUGAAUAAGGACCGGCUAAUUCCGUGCCAGCAGCCGC